This is a non-coding RNA of Enterococcus durans ATCC 6056, 122 nucleotides long. The record is from Rfam. NCBI's taxonomy places the organism in Bacteria, Bacillati, Bacillota, Bacilli, Lactobacillales, Enterococcaceae.
GUUCGUCUUCAGGGGCAGGGUGAAAUUCCCGACCGGUGGUUAAAGUCCACGACCUACUUUUCAAGUAGCUGAACCGGUGAAAUUCCGGUACCGACAGUACAGUCUGGAUAAAGAAGAUAGAG